RNAcentral lists this ribosomal RNA (864 nucleotides) under uncultured eukaryote. RNAcentral describes it as "bacterial SSU rRNA". It matches the Rfam family "Eukaryotic small subunit ribosomal RNA", at positions 626 to 1515 of the family's 1831-position model. The record is from RNAcentral.
GCUCGUAGUUGAAUUUCGACUAAUGGUUAUUGAGGAUUAAACUAAGUUUAAUUCCUUUUUAACGUUAAUCUUCUUUCAAAAUGACUAAGUCGUUUUGAUAUUUUACUUUGAAAAAAUUAGAGUGUUUCAAGCAGACAAAUGUCUGGAUAUUACAGCAUGGAAUAAAUGAAAAGGACGUGAGCUAAAGUUUGUUGGUUUCUUUGGGCAAAUGUAAUGACUAACAGGGACAGUUGGGGUCGCUCGUAUUGGUUCGCUAGGGGUGAAAUCCUAUGAUUGAAUCACGACGUACUACUGCGAAAGCAUUCGACAAGGAUGUCUUCAUUAAUCAAGAACGAAAGUUGGGGGAUCGAAGAUGAUCAGAUACCGCCGUAGUCUCAACCGUAAACAAUGUCGACCAAAGAUUGGGAAAUAUUACAUGGAUGAUUUUACCAGCAUUUUAUGAGAAAUCAUAAGUAUUCAGACUCCGGGGGGAGUAUGGUUGCAAGACUGAAACUUAAAGGAAUUGACGGAAGGGCACCACCAGGAGUGGAACCUGCGGCUUAAUUUGACCCAACACGGGGAAACUUACCGGGUCCGGACACUAGAAGGAUUGACAGACUGAUAGAUCUUUCUUGAUUUAGUGAUUGGUGGUGCAUGGCCGUUUUUAGUUGGUGGAUUGAUUUGUCUGGUUAAUUCCGUAAGCGAACGAGACCUUAACCUAUUAAAUAGUUCGUUUAAUCAGAUUUGCAAGAGUUAGUUAAUUGAAGAAGUGAGACUUCUUAGAGGGACUCUUUACAUUUUAGUAAAGGGAAGUUUAAGGCAACGACAGGUCUGCGAUGCCCUUCGAUGUUCCGGGCUGCACGCGCGUUACACUGAUGUCUUCAA